RNAcentral lists this ribosomal RNA (253 nucleotides) under uncultured bacterium. Its description in RNAcentral is "partial 16S ribosomal RNA". It matches the Rfam family "Bacterial small subunit ribosomal RNA", at positions 524 to 776 of the family's 1533-position model. The record is from RNAcentral.
UACAGAGGGUGCAAGCGUUGUUCGGAAUUAUUGGGCGUAAAGCGCGUGUAGGCGGCUUUGCAAGUCGGGUGUGAAAGCCCUCAGCUCAACUGAGGAAGUGCGCCCGAAACUGCAGAGCUUGAGUACCGGAGAGGAUGGUGGAAUUCCCCAAGUAGAGGUGAAAUUCGUAGAUAUGGGGAGGAACACCAGUGGCGAAGGCGGCUUCCUGGCCUGUUCUUGACGCUGAGGCGCGAAAGCUAGGGGAGCAAACGGG